This 408-nucleotide ribosomal RNA is filed under the name uncultured bacterium. RNAcentral describes it as "bacterial SSU rRNA". It matches the Rfam family "Bacterial small subunit ribosomal RNA", at positions 39 to 458 of the family's 1533-position model. The record is from RNAcentral.
GGCCGCGGGAAUUCGAUUCAGGCCUAACACAUGCAAGUCGUACGGGAAUUUUUAAUUCAAGUGGCGGACGGGUGAGUAACACGUAAGAAUUUGCCUUUAGGAGGGGGACAACAACUGGAAACGGUUGCUAAUACCCCAUAUGCUUUCGAGUGAAAUGGAUUUUUCCGCCUAAAGAGAAGCUUGCGGCUGAUUAGCUUGUUGGUGAGGUAAUGGCUCACCAAGGCGACGAUCAGUAUCUGGUUUGAGAGGAUGAUCAGACACACUGGAACUGAGACACGGUCCAGACUCCUACGGGAGGCAGCAGUGGGGAAUUUUCCGCAAAAGGGGAAAGCCUGACGGAGCAAUCUCGCGUGAGGGAUUAAAGCCUAUGGGUUGUAAACCUCUUUUUUCAGGGAGGAACAAAAUGAC